UACAGAGGUGGCAAGCGUUGUUCGGCAUUACUGGGCGUAAAGGGCGCGUAGGCGGCCUGUUAAGUCCCGUGUGAAAUCCCUCGGCUCAACCGAGGAACUGCACGGGAAACUGGCGUGCUUGAGUUCGGGAGAGGGAAUCGGAAUUCCGGGUGUAGGGGUGAAAUGCGUAGAUAUCCGGAGGAACACCGGUGGCGAAGGCGGCUUCCUGGACCGACACGGACGCUGAGGCGCGAAAGCUAGGGGAGCAAACGGG
RNAcentral lists this ribosomal RNA (253 nucleotides) under uncultured bacterium. Its description in RNAcentral is "partial 16S ribosomal RNA". It matches the Rfam family "Bacterial small subunit ribosomal RNA", at positions 524 to 776 of the family's 1533-position model. The record is from RNAcentral.